GGAACUUCCCCUGAUUGCUCUCUGCCUACCUGUUCUCAGGCAAGGGGGAUGAAGGAGGCAGAGGAAAUAUUGAGAGUCUUUAGAAGAGCCAAGAUGGCUUUUGGAUUGCUCUCCUGUACUAUUUUAGACAUGUGGUUUGUAUACUUAUGUAAAGGGAUGUGGGUGGCGCUGUGGUCUAAACCACUGAGUCUCUUGGGCUUGCCAAUCGGAAGGUCAGCAGUUCGAAUCCCUGCGAUGGGGUGAGCUCCAGUUGCUCUGUCCCAGCUCCUGCCAACCUAGCAGUUUGAAAGCACGCCAGUACAAGUAGAUAAAUAGGUAUCCCUCCGGCAGGAAGGUAAACGGCAUUUCCGUGCGCUCUGGUUUCCGUCACGGUGUUCCUUUGCACGCCAGUGCAGGUAGAUAAAUAGGUAUCGCUGCAGCAGGAAGGUAAACGGUGUUUCCGUGCGCUCUGGCACUCGUCACGGUCUUCCGUGUGCCAGUAGCGGUUUAGUCCUGCUGGCCACAUGACCCGGAAAACUGUCUGUGAGCAAAUGCCGGCUCCCUUGGCCUAAAAGCAAGAUGAGCGCUGCAACCCCAUAUAGUGGUACCUCGGGUUACACAUGCUUCAGGUUACAGACUCCGCUAACCUAGAAAUAGUACCUCGGGUUAAGAACUUUGCUUCAGGAUGAGAACAGAAAUCGCACGCCGGUGACGUGGCGGCAGCAAGAGGCCCCAUUUGCUAAAGUGGUACCUCAGGUUAAGAACAGUUUCAGGUUAAGAACGGACCUCCAGAACGAAAUAAGUUCUUAGCCCAAGGUACUACUGUAGUCGCCAUUGACUGGACUUAACCGUCCAGAGGUCCUUUACCUUUUACCUAUACUUAUGUAUGUGUGUUUACCUUGUGCAAUUAUUGACAUUCAUUCUCUAUUUGAGACCUUAGAAUUCCUAUAAUAAAUCACAAACCGUGACAGCUUCUGUAACUCUGGGACUGGAAAAUAGGGGCCCUUGGAGGAUCUGGUAUUGCCAUUGCUGCUGUUUAAGGUGAGGGCCGGAGUAUGUAUUUUGAGUUGUGGAGGGGUCAGUACCCUCUUAAUGUGGCUUGCAGGGGGACAUAUGAUGGGAGAAGUAUGCCACCAGCAUACGGAACAGAGAACAGUCAUUUUGAAUCUCUUCUUUCCAGUUCUUCUCCCAGCCAACAGUUUCCUGGUUGUCUUGGCAACAGCUCUCCAAGUAUUAGAAUGUUUCUGCUAAACUCCAGGUUGAUGGCCAGUAGAGAACCUGAGAACUUCCUGUUGCAUGAAGCGUGGCCUACCAGCAAUGUAAAUAAGUACAUAAUAAAAAAGUGACAAGACCAGGAUUCCAUCCUGCAUAAGUAUACUCUCAGGAUCCAUGUCAAGGAAUCCCUUGACAGUGCCCAGAGACAGUCAGGUCAUGUAUCCACAGCAGUGACCAGAAGAGGAAUGACCGUUGGAAGGAGUGUAGAAGGAAGAAACACCAUGGCGUAUCUGCAGGAGCGUAACCGGAUGCCUUCAUCUGCCCCAGCCGCAACAAAACAUCUUUCCCAUAUUGGUCCCAUACAGCCACAGCAGGCGCUAUAACUUUCCAAUGUUUUAACUUCACCCCCAAAGGCGCUCUCCUCCUUUGUCUCCUGAGGCAGAUGGAUGCCAACCAAUCGUCUGGUUAUGGUGAGAUUGAAAUGGCUCCUUUAUCAUGGACAACGUCUAACUGCUAGGGUUGAGAUUCACUCGGGUUCCUUAACUCUGCAGCGGUGGAGGGCCCACAUAAUCUGAUGGAUCUGGAGUAAUCCCUGACCGUUCUGAUGGGUUUUCCUGUUGUUCCAUAUGGCAGUCCUUUCAAAGCCCUGCUCCAUCUUUGGAAUGGGGAAAAUGAUCCAGGUCGUUAACAUGAUCCCUCCUAAACGCUCUCUUUCGUUUCCAUUUGCUGGAGACCAUGUUGUUUGGUUUUCUGACGAUUUAAGGGGCGAGUAAGUGGCUGGAGGAAGACUCAUGAAAUAUGUGGCUGAACAUGGGGUAGAGCACAUUAGCAAAAUGACCUCUCUGCCAGCAUUACGUCAACCCAUUGCCAUCCAGUGGAGAAUAGAAUAGAAUAGAAUAGAAUAGAAUAGAAUAGAAUAGAAUAGAAUAGAAUAGAAUUUAUUAUUUAUACCCCGCCCAUCUGGCUGGGUUUCCCCAGCCACUUUGGGCGACUUCCAACAAAGUAUUAAAAUACAGUAGUCUGUUAAACAUUAAAAGCUUCCUUAAAGAGGGCUGCCUUCAGAUGUCUUCUAAAAAUCUGGUAGUUGUUCUUCUCUAUGACAUCUGGUGGGAGGGUGUUCCACAGGGCUGGUGCCACUACCGAGAAAGCCCUCUGUCUGGUUCCCUGUAACUUGGCUUUUCACAGUGAGGGAACCGCCAGAAGGCCCUCGGCGCUGGACCUCAGUGUCCAGGCUGAACGAUGGGGGUGGAGACGCUCCUUCAGGUAUACUGGACCAAGACCGUUUAAGGAGAUGACUGAAUCCAGGAGGAGAGAGAAUCCAGGAACAAAAUGACAAAAAAACCACAUGGCAACUUAAAGACUAGCUAAUUUUAUUCUGCCACAAGCUUUUGUGGACUUUUACCCACUUCACCUGUUAGUCUUAAUUCAUUAGCCUUUAAGAUGCCUCAGAACUUUGAUGUUUUUUGCUGCAGCCUGGCUACCUAGGUCUCUCAGGGAAUUCAAGGAUAAGUGGAAAGGCUUCUCUGUGCACGGUUGCAUUGAUUGCUUCUGGGUAUUUAGAUGUGAAAAUGACCCAGAGUGCCUUCACACAGUUUUGGCUGGUGUGCCAGCCGUGCUUUUUUCCCGAGAGAAGACAUAUCUAACCACUGUCUCACAUACCUCGAUUGCAUCCAGAUUUGAUGAUUGCAAUGUACUCUACCUGGCAGUAUAUAUUGACACAAUGCUGCAGCAGAAGACUGCAACAAAGGAACCCCUAGCAAGACAGAUAAAGCUGUCUGUCACAUUAAACCUAGGCAGAUAAAUGGUUCUACAGCUGGUGCCAAACAGAUAAGAGACUGUCCCUAUUUGGGGUGAGAUUCAAUCAUAUACUGACAAACUCAGGUUGCACAAUUACAUUGAUUUGGAGCUUUUGCAUGACAAACCCACUUUCCCGAAAGAUCAGACUUUUUGUGAUAAGGAAAGUGACAGGAAGAUGCACUAGAAAAUGUGGAAUAACUCUUGCUCAAUGCAAUGUCGUCAAAAAUGUGAGAACCAAACAUCCUUUAAAAUUCACAUGUACCUGAAUUUUGUAUAUCAAGGGAAAGUGUGCAUAAAACACCCAUAUUAGUGAAAAUACAACCAGCAAAAAAUUAUAUAUAUAAUUAAAUUUCUAUAUCGCCAUCUAAGGAUCACAGGGCUGUUAAAAAAUUUAAAAGCACAACAUACUACUAAUUAAAACAGCAAUGGUCAAAACAAGAAUGUGUUAAUUAGAGAAAUUUGCAGUGAAAUGCUGAAGAUUUUUUUAAAAAAUUCAAAUUGCAGUAGAAAUGUGAAUUUAAGAAAUGAGUAACUGCGAGAACAGUUUAUCUAACUUCCAUCCCUACUAGUUUUAAAGGUGAGGGCAGGUUCAUAUGCAAAGAGGCAGCCCAUGAGUGUGUACUGGAUGCAGUGGUGGGCUGGACAAGAGCCAAGAAGCUGAAACUGGACCCGAACGAGAUGGAGGUGGUUCCCAAGUCCAGGAAUAAGCCAGGUGGCCUGUUCUGGAUGGAACUGUACUCCCUAUGAAAAUACAGGUGCAUAGUCUGGAAGAUUCGAGAGGGACAUAUAUGGCCUCCGGCAAGGACACUUUCCUAAUAUAAGGGGAAAUGGCAGGUCCCUGCCCAUGAGGAAUUUGCAAUGUAAAUUUCAGCAGUGGGAGAAGCCAGAGGGUAACCAAGAGAGAAGGAAUGGGGAAUUCAAAGUCAAGGCUGAAUGAAACUACAGCCAGUUGUGUGCAUUGGAAUCGUUUUUGCUUGAGGGGGAGCAUGAAGGGAUUGAACCACAUUCUGUCAGUGGGUUUUGAUAAAGGAUUUUGAAUAACCUAAGAGAGGUUGCAGCACGAAGGAGUUCUGGGCUCUGUAUGUGGAUCUGCCCUUCUUGGAAUUCAAAACGCCUAUUUCAGGUAGAGACCAUAGGUGGCAUCAAGCAGUACAGGUGCAAAACGUCACCUGAACCCCACAGGUUUCCUGUAUUGGUGUGGUGGAACCUGAUUGCUUAUAUAUAUGCACUGCCUUGUUAUAAGAAUUUUAAGGUCCUAUAUAUAAAACAUAAAUGUUCAUAAAUGUACCAAGCAAGCACAUACAUAAAUGUAUAAACCCCACAGAAAAAAACUCCAGAAACUGUUUCGUCUCUCCCCAAAUUGACCUCAAAUAUGUCUCUGCAAGGUCGAAGGAAAUGGGGAGCCUCGCCACUGUCUCUUUGCUCACAAAUCCUGUCUCAAGGGCACAUUUAAGAUAUGAAUAGGGUGAGCCUGUGACCUGGAUUCAGGAAUUGAGCAGUUAUCAUAACAAAAGAGUGGCCAGGAUGCCCAGGUAAUCCAAUCAGGUAACCUGGCAGACAGGAUAAAAACAACGCACUCAGAUUUCUGUUGUAGUCCACCCCUUUUCUGAUGUAUAGAUGAUGUACUGGGGGGUGGUCAUGGGCUACACCCCUUCUGUGAUGUAUGUAUGACGUAUGGAGGGGUGGUCUUGGGCUCCAGGGUGGGCAGUUCAAAAGUCUAUAUAAGGGCGCACGGUUCAGGGUCCUCCUCCUCUCUCCUGCAUGUGGGGGGAAGCACCCUGUUGCUUUAAUAAAGAUCAGGCUUACUAGCUGCUUUGCUUCUCAAUAUUCUCUGUUUGGCCUCUGUCAUUUUCUCCUACCAAUGGAGAGCCUACAAAGGACUCUGUAAGGGCUCUUGUGUACCUGUGAUAGGAAUUUUGAGGUCUUAGAUAUAUGGUAAUGCUCAUAAGUGUACCAACCAAGCACGUACAUACCGUAUUUUUCGCUCUAUAAGACGCACCAGACCACAAGACGCACCUAGUUUUUGGAGGAGGAAAACAAGAAAAAAAAUAUUCUGAAUCUCAGAAGCCAGAACAGCAAGAGGGAUCGCUGCGCAGUGAAAGCAGCAAUCCCUCUUGCUGUUCUGGCUUCUGGGAUAGCUGCGCAGCCUGCAUUUGCUCCAUAAGACGCACACACAUUUCCCCUUACUUUUUAGGAGGGAAAAAGUGAGUCUUAUAGAGCAAAAAAUACGGUAGAUCAGCACAGGAAGACCGGCCUGAAACCAUUUUGAUUCCCAAACUGACCAAAUGUUUUCCAUGCAAGGGGGAGGGGGGUCAGGGAGCCUUCCCAUUGUUUCAGGAAUUGAGUAAUCAGCAUUUUAAUGGGUGGCAGACUAUCAGGAAAGACAACCAGGAAAGGCAAUUAGAUAACCUGGCAAACAGGAAAAACAACAUUCAAAUUUCUGUUUUAUUUUCUCCUACCAAUAGGGAACCUAAUGUAAGGACUCUAUAUGGGCUCUUGGAUACCCCAUAAGGCGAAAAGGGCAGAUUUUUGUUUACAACAUACCGCAUAAGGGAAAGGGAGUAGUUUUUGUUUAUAACAGCCUUCUCCUGUUCCUAUGGGUCCUCAGAUCAAAAUGCAUGCUGGGCUCCAAUGUAGAAAUAAUGGAGGACAGCAUGGGAGUUGGUAAUGCAGGUGAGCUGUGCAGAAGCAAGCUAGCAAGCAUGCUCCAAGCAAGCUGCCAGCUAGCUCUGCAGAGGCUCCUUUUAUUAGCAGGUCAACAAUUGGAAACAGUAGUGAAAUCACCCUGAACUUAACGUAUUUCCAUCUAAGCACAUUUCCAGCGUUAGCAAAUACACGUGUCAGCAGGUGUUUCCCUCAGAUGUUCCCCCCGAUACUUGAUUACGUCUGUCCCCCCCCGUCAUGCUCCAGCCAAGCGAUAUGUCCAAGCAAACUAAUUGUGAAAGGACCCCUGUAUUCUAGCCAAGAAGGCAAAAGGUCAAGGAAAGCAGGCAUAAUGCUCCUUGACAUACUGUUGCACGUCUGGUGUGAGGUUUGCCUUCGCAAAGCAGAGCGUUACCUUCACACUCCAACAGGAGGCAACAUAGGGCACAGGUUGACAACCCUUGCCCUCAGCAGGGUGUGCCAACUGUCCUCCUGCCUUCCAGGAGCCCCCCAAUGUGGUGAGCCUGUAACAAGACAUCUUGGCACCUGAGGUGGAUCCUGUGAUGAAUUUUGAUGUCUUAGAUAAUGUUAAUGGUAAUGUUCAUAAGUGUACCAACCAAGCAUGUACAUAGAUCAGCACAGGAAGACCGACCUGAAACCAUUUUGAUUCCCAAACUGAGCAAAUAAUUUCUCUGCAAGGUCAAAGUGGGAAACCUCCCCAUUGUCUCUUUCCUCACAAAUCUUAAGGGCGCAUUUAAGAUAUGAACAGGGUGUGAGCCUGUGACCUGGCCCAGGAACUAAGUACCGCAUUUAUCAUUACAAAAGACUGGCCAGGCUCUCCAGGUAAUCCCAUCAAGAAAGCAGGGUAUCCAAUCAAGUAACCUGCCAGACAGGAGAUAAACAAGGACAGGAGAAAAACAACAUUCAAAUUUCUGUUUUAGACCGCCUUUUCUGUGAUGUAGAUAGGAUGUAUCUGGGGGGUGGUCUUAGGUUACACCCCUUCUGUGAUGUAUGUAUGAUGUUUUCUGGGGGUGGUCUUGAUCUACAUGGUGGCAAUUUCAAAAGUCUACAUAAGGCCUUGCGCACCAUUUUUCUGGGUUCCUCCUCUCUCCUGUGGGUGAGGGGAGCACCCUGUUGCAACAGAUCAAUAAAGAUCAGGCUUACUAGCUGCUUUGCUUCUCAAUAUUCUCUGGUUGGCCUCUGUUAUUUUCUCCUACCAAUAGGGAACCUAAUGUAAGGACUCUAUAUGGGCUCUUGGAUACCCCAUAAGGGUAAAGGGCAAUUUUUGUUUACAACAAUCCUAACAUGGUAUCCCCCUCUGCACCAGGGAAGAAGGGGUGAGGGAAGAUCUACAUCAGGAACAAGGGGGGCGGGGCAAGAAAAAUUGACAUUGGGAUCUGCUGAGCCAGUGAAUUGUGGAGCCUGAGGCGGUCGCCUCCCAUUGCCUCAUGGGUGAGGCGGCCACGGUCUGUGAGCAAGUACCGCUGUGCCUCCGGCUCCCAUGCAGCUGCCUGUAAAAUGGACCUGGAAUUGCUUGAAAGUCUCAAGGUGCCAGCAUCAUCACCAGCCUGUAAAUUUGCCUAAGGUUGUAAAUUACAGGGCUGUAAAUGCCUCUCCUUUGUCCAGGCUGGCAGGGUGGGGGCUCGAGCCAGAAAGAUCUAAAAGAAUAGAGAUAAACAGCCCUCGGCUGUUUUUCACUUUUUUCAAGCAGGGCAAAUAACUGGUGGUUUAAAAACAACAACUGUAUCUUCCUAUCUGCUUGUUUUUUGUGUGUAAUGGGGGUGGAAAUACUGCAAUUGCCAGUGGUUUUUUAAAUGCUUGGAUUUGCAGAAAUAAUUUGAGAAGCCUUGUUUAGCAAUCCCCACCCCCAUGGAAGAAAUCAGAUUAAAAAAUAAUUGUCUGUAAUAUUAUUUUCUUCUUCUAUUAUUAUUAUUAUUAUUGGACUUCCGGGUUAGCGCCAUCGCCGAAUGGCGGACUCCCUCCGAGCUCCGGAGGGAGUCUGCUCGGCAGGGGCUGGGUCCUACCGCGCCGGCGACGCGGGGACCCUUAAAAACCACGGGCACGGAGUCCGUGGACAUGGGUGACUCGGCUUGCACCAUUAGCGCCCUCCCGACUCGUGAAGGAGCCUUUUUAAAGGCUUCGGAUCGGGUGCCGGGAGUGGCGUGGUGCUUGAGUCCACUGCUUUCCCUGCCGAGCGCAGCCGCAUGCCAUUCGACGGAGAGCGCUGACUUCUUCUAUUGAAAAUUUGGACUAUUAACAACAACCCGUGAGUAAUUGGGAAACCGGGUUCAAAAUUUUGGAUUUGGCACGACCGGGGGCGAUUUAAAAAGGAAGUCAAUCCCCCCCCCUAUUGUAAGCAUUCCAAAACAAGGACCGGGUAACCAAGGUCCAAAGGGAAGUAUGUCUCUGAUAAAAAUCAUUAAUUUCACGAUGGGAAAUUAUAAGAAAUGUGCUGGAGGAGAAGAGUGGAGGGUGAGAAGAAAAUGCAACCCCCCUGGGAACCGGGGCGAUUCGUGGAGCCUGGUGAAGAGAGACGGAGACUUUGACAGCUGUCAAAGUGGCUGUCAAAGCUGGAGAAUAUAAAGAGGACUUUAUGAGGACCUUGCUGGUUAAUUUUGUUACAAUUUGCUAUAAUAUGGAUAUAAACUGUUGGAAAAUAAGCAACAAUUUGACUUUUGGAUUAGAGGAUACAAAGUUAUUACAAACCCCUAGAGGGGUUUCUGGAUACUACAAGAACGGUCGUAAGUGGAAAAAUACCCUGGGAUUCGCACAGGAUUUGUUAUCUUCUGGGAAAGCUGCAAAACUGAAAGAGUAUUUUGUCUACAGAGGAAGACAAUGGAAUUUUUAUUGAAGAAAGAAAGGGACUGGACGUAAGUUUUUGUUCCUGAAUAACAAACCUCUGCAGAGACACUAGAUUUCUGAAUUAGAAAGUUUUAGCAGCUGAACAGGACAAGAAACCUGAGAAAGUGAGGAAUAAGAAGAAUAAAGGACUGAUUACGACACGGAAAGAACAACGGGAGGAGUGGUAAAGAUCAAGGAAAUUAAAGGCCUUUGUUAGAUUGGACAUUUGAAGUCAAAUAUUAUUUAAAUUAAUAAACUAAAAGAAAACCGGCAAGAUGGAAUCGGGAGAAAUCUGGUCAUGAAAUGAGACUUCCAAGCUGAUAAUGUAUAGACUGAUGGACAUGGGGAAUUCAAACCGGGGAAGGGGGGGGGGGAGAUUUGAAAUCCAAAGGCUGUGUAACCAUUUGUUGAAUUUUUCUAUAUCUCUUAUUUUCUAUGUCUUUAUAUAACUUACGCAUGUUAUUUUACUUUGAUCGGACGUGUUUAAAAAAAAGGGAAUUUGUGGAAGGAACUGGGGUGGAUCUUGGGGAAAAACUUUUUUCUUUUUCUGUUAAUGAUGUGGGACGGUGGUAAGAUUUGUACAAUUCAAUCUGGAUAGUGGGUUAAACAAAUUAAGCUUUAGAGUGGGAGUGAGCUUGUAGAACCAAAUUAAGGAAAGGGAAUACAAUUGGGGGAGGGGGAGUCCCAGAAAGUAGGGAAUGAAAGUAAGGUUUUUAAAUAUCUUUUUUCUUUUGUCUUUUUUCUUUGUAUUUUUAUAUUUUUGGAAACUUUAAUAAAUAUGAUUUAAAAAAAAAAUAUUAUUAUUAUUAUUAUUAUUAUUAUUAUUAUUAUUAUUAUCCCAUCUAACUACUUGAUGCAUUUCCUUCCUUGAUAUUUUUAAGUCACAUUGAGUUAUUUUUCUCAAAAAAUGACUUAUACUUUCUACCACCACCUCUUUUUUAAAAAACUUCAGAAAACUGUCGGUAUUUUCAUUCAUAGUGUUUCUAGCUCCUUCAGUUUCAGUACCUACAUUGUUGUCAAAAAAAGAACUAAUUUUCAGGAGGGAUUCUUAUAACUACAGUGCUAGACUGGAGAUAGUUUGUUAUUCUGGGCAUUUUAAAAGUCCCAUUGAUUUCUCUCUCCCUCUCUCUCUCUCUCUCUUAAAUUCAGUAUUUGUUCUUGCAAGUUCUGUACGUUUUGAAUGUAUUGAGCUACAGAACUCAAUAUCUCAGAAGAAAAUGUGGAGGAACUGUGUUAAUAUUGUUUUGAAAGAAAUACAUGUUGUUUGAAUAGCAAGUCGAAAAGGAAAGGAAAAAGGACUCCCUCUCUGGUCCAAAAUUAUACCAGUGAAAUGUAAAAAGGUUUGCAGUGGGUUUUUGUGCAGAAGGAUUGAGCUCAAUUUAGUUCUGGUACUCAAAAGCGAAUUUCUGUGCCAACCAUUCUUCCAUUCCCAUUAAAAAUAACAAAAAGUCCUAUGACACAUUAAAGACCAGCAAUUUUGCUAUGGCAGAAAUUUUCAUGGACUCCAGCCCACCUGUCAGAUGCUGUAAAUCUUGGUUUACAGGUAUAUAAAGGAGAAAAUUAUGAGAGUUGAAUGGCAUUCGUAUUCCCAAAGAUAGUGAAAGCUUAACAACAUGUGCCUUUUUCAGUAGCACACUGGCGGUAAUUUCUAGGGACAAGAAAGAUGGGUUUCUGCUUUGAGAAGGGAAGAGCCAAGAAACCCAUGUUUACGCUGGGUUCCAGGGCCCCUAUUAACUUGGAGUCAGUCUUGACAGAGGGAUCUAUCUUUAUUGUGUACCUUCCUUGGUGGUGUGUUAAGUUUUUAUGAAUAUUCAGUUGCCAUUUUUUUUUUUGUAUUGAUGGGGUUUAAAAUUUUACAUUUACCAGAGAUCUUCAUGUCUAGGUGAGGGAUUUGAUCCCUGGUCUCCCACUCUAACCACACUGAUUCUGUCUGUAUAGUUAAAGCUAUGGUUUUCCCAGUAGUGAUGUAUGGAAGUGAGAGCUGGACCAUAAAGAAGGCUGAUCGCCGAAGAAUUGAUGCUUUUGAAUUAUGGUGCUGGAGGAGACUCUUGAGAGUCCUAUGGACUGCAAGAAGAACAAACCUAUCCAUUCUGAAGGAAAUCAGCCCUGAGUGCUCACGGGAAGGACAGAUCCUGAAGCUGAGGCUCCAGUACUUUGGCCACCUCAUGAGAAGAGAAGACUCCUUGGAAAAGACCCUGAUGUUGGGAAAGAUGGAGGGCACAAGGAGAAGGGGACGACAGAGGACAAGAUGGUUGGGCAGUGUUCUCGAAGCUACCAGCAUGAGUUUGACCAAACUGCGGGAGGCAGUGGAAGACAGGAGUGCCUGGCGUGCUCUGGUCCAUGGGGUCACAAAGAGUCAGACACGACUAAACGAUUAAACAACAACAAUAACAACAACAAAAAAGUCACCGCUUUUUAUUUAGCUCAGGGCAGCCCAACUUUUCAUACCAAGUGGGCCACAAGAGCACUUUGACAAGGACUCAUGGCUGCACACUGCUUUGUCGCGUAGAGCGAGGCCAAAAUUUGACACCCCCAAGCAAGCCGAUCAGGUGCCUGGGGCGGCGCACAUGCCCUGCACCCAGGGGCGGGGCCUGCAGCCCAUGGCGCGAGCCGGGACAGGACGCUCUUUGGGGCCUCUGAGGAGUCUGCCUGCCUCCUGCCACUCAGCCAUCCUACAGCUGAAGGGGAGGCGGCGGGCCAACCAUUUGGGGCAGCACGGAGCCUGUGGGCGUCUAAGCUACUGUGUCACUCCCAGGAGUGACGCGUGGCUUAGGGCACUGCAGGCCCUGCUGUGAGUGCUGCCCGGCAUUUUGUCACCCCCCUCAGUGCUGACAUCCAGGGUGGCCCGCCCCCACCGCACCCCCUUCCUCCUCCAAUGCCCCCAACCCGGCCCUCAUGCUGCCUUCCCAAAGCUGGAUAAGAAAGGUGUUGGGCUUUGGGAACAAGGCAUAAGGCUUCUCCCCGAAGCCUGGUUAGUGUUUUCCCCCAGCUUUGGGAAGGUUCUAGGACCUUGUCAGAAUACCCUGCGUGGGUUGGUAGCAGGGCAUCAAAUGUCGCUGAGGGCCGCCCAAAAAAAGACCUCAUGCCCUUGCAGCACACAUUGGUCCAUCCUGAUUCAGAUCCCAACAAACCUUGCUUUCUACCUGCUUAAAAGUGGUUAAGAGAGGUAGAUUCGUAACCUGGUGAACCGGGUUCGCGUCUCCGCUCCUCCACAUGCAGCCGCUGGGUGACCUUGGACCAGUCACACUUCUCUGAAGUCUCUCAGCCCCACUCACCUCACAGAGUGUUUGUUGUGGGGGAGGAAGGGAAAGGAGAAUGUUAGCCGCUUUGAGACUCCUUCGGGUGGUGAUAAAGCGGGAUAUCAAAUCCAAACUCUUCUUAUUCCCAGUGGUGUUAGUGCUUUACAUCACUAUCCAAUCCCAGUGCUGAGCCGUGAUAGUUUUCCUUCUCACUGACAAAACAAAGCAUAUCCUGUUCUUGCUCCCCACGCUGACAUCCAUACAAAUGUGCUUAUCAGCCAGUACCGCUGGGGCUGCUCUGGGCCUUCCCAGAAAGAAAGAUGAAAGUUAUUGAUUUUUGCUGCUCACAACUGGGAUCUCAUUAAGAUAGAGGAUCUAGCAAAUGGGGACAGCGAAGGACUUUUGCUGCUGCUUCCCCUCCUGCCCCUCUUCCUCCCCGCUGUCAAGGCUGAAUUAAAUUUUUUUUGGAUGAGGGUGGGGAGAACCGGUGCAGCUGGAAAACAUGAUCAACAGGUCAAUUUAGCAACUUCAACACUAAUUCUUCUUGAACAGCCGGUAAGAAGAAUCUUGUCUCCCGGAGACAACAAAAAGUGAACAUAGUUCAGUGGUACAGAACGUGGACCUUGCACUCAGAAGGUUGUCCUGUAUGUUCACAUUAGCAGCUUGAGAGGCAGUGACGUCAUUGUGCUUCAAGCACAAUUUUGUUCACAUCAGAGAGGCAGGGUGGGGAUGUCUUCACCCAUUGCGCAUGCUUUUUUUGUUGUUUUCCCCCACCCCUGCAAACUCCAUUGGAACUCCAUUUCACAAAGUUGUCAUUUGCACACGCACAAUGGCGAUCUCAGAUGUUCACAUUUGUUAAGUUUUCUAAUUGGAUUGAACCUCGUUUGAGAGAAAAAUGCAUCAAGCAAGAGUAUUUGUUAUGUCCCCAGCUCCUAGCUAACAGGGUGGCCUAAUUUGUGAGUGUGUAUGUGUGUGUAUGGGACGUGGGUGGCGCUGUGGGUUAAACCACUGAGCCCCUCGGGCCUGCCAAUCAGAAGGUUGGUGGUUCGAAUCCCCGCGACGGGGUGAGCUCCCGUUGCUCGGUCCCUGCUCCUGCCAACCUAGCAGUUCGAAAGCACAUCAAAGUGCAAGUAGAUAGGUACUGCUCUGGUGGGAAAGUAAACGGCGUUUCCGUGUGCUGCUCUGGUUCGCCAGAGUCAGCCACGACUGGACCUAAUGGUCAGGGGUCCCUUUACCUUUACCUUAUGUGUGUGUGUGUGUGUGUAUCCAUAUACAAGAUUUGCAUAUGCACAGCACAUUGUAUGCAAUUUGUGGCAUAGGCCUAUGCCGCAAAUCAUUUAGCAACACCCCAGGCUAGUUGGACAAAUGGUUUGUCCUGAUGAUGUAAAGCAGUUUCCUAUCUUCUUUUGUGUGUCAUAGAAAUGGCAUUCAUUAUGGGUAGCAUUAAACUAAGUUUUACUCAAAAUAGAAUUUCUGAAAUGAAUGGCCCUAACGUAGUCAUAGUCAUUAAUUUCAUUGUGAUUACUCCCAGUGAAAUUUACUUGAACACCACCCUGGGUGUUUAUUUUAAUUAUGCUUUAUACCUGAGUGGUGGUGCAUUGUAUUUCUGCUUCCUUUGGAAGAAAAAGAGCAAUAAACAUUUAGAAUUUCUUUGUAAAACAAAAACAAACGCUCUCGAUAUUUAUAUUUUGACCAGGCUAUUCUGCUUUUCAGUCUUGCUCAGUUUUGUAGGUAUUUAUGCCAACCUGUAUCACUUGAGCAUAGCCAAAUAUUUUAAGGAUGGAUGCCCAUAGCUCUUCUGACAACCAGAUGCCACAGACAAGCUUUGGCUGAUGAGCCAAUUGUCCCUCCUAUGCCACAAAACAGUUUCCCAAAAAGAAAUGGGACCCAACUUUGAUCCACCUCUGAUACUUUAGUUAAUAGCUUACUAAUGAACAGAAUCACCCAGCUGGAAGAGGCAAUAUUCUGUGCCUGUCAUGUAGCCAGUCUGAUGGCAGCGACGUAUUGUGACCUGAUGGAUCUAAUGCAGGGGUAGGCAACCUAAGGCCCAUGGGCCGGAUCCGGCCCAAUCACCUUCUAAAUCCGGCCUGCGGACGGUCCGGGAAUCAGCGUGUUUUUACAUGAGUAGAAUGUGCCCUUUUAUUUAAAAUGCAUCUCUGGGUUCUUUGUGGGGCCUGCCUGGUGUUUUUACAUGAGUAGAAUGUGUGCUUUUAUUUAAAAUGCAUCUCUGGGUUAUUUGUGGAGCAUAGGAAUUUGUUCGUAUUUUUUAAAAAAUAUAGUCUGGCCCACCACAUGGUCUGAGGGACGGUGGACCGGCCCACAGCUGAAAAAGGUUGCUGACCCCUUAUCUAAUGGCAGCUUUCGCCCCUCAACUGAGCCCCCCAAUCUGUGGAAAUUGUGUAUGUGUGAUUCAUGCCUCAUCAUAAGUGGAAACUUCCUCUUAAAAUGCUGUAAGAAAGUAGAGGCUGUUUUGACCCAUGGUGGCGCUUCAAUCCAUCCAGCCCCCCACUCUCCCCACCCAUUCUGAAAAUGUCCUCACCCUAAAAGAAUUCCCCCCCCACCACCAUUUUCUGCCACAACAACAUAAGAGACUAAAAAGUGCUACUGUCAUGUUUUUGGUUUUUGGUUUAAACUCUCUCAGGAAGCCUUAGGAUUGUGAAAAUAUUGAUGUUCCUUUUUUGUCCUGGAGAUAUAACUGCAUUGUCCGUUAUCAAGUAAGAUAGAUGGUCUUCUCCCUAGGCUUUGGUGUAGAUUGAUUGUUUGCUUAGCAACCUCUGAUUACUUGUUCAGACUUGUCCAGGCUAAUGUCAUUUACAGGUUACAGCUACCAGCCAAGAUGGGGGUCGAGACCAAUGUUUUGCACAUGGGCAGGCUUGGCAGGAGCCGUGGGGGAGAUGGGAUGGAAAUGCAUGCUGAAUAGAGGCAAGGAAAAGAAAGAAAUACUCUGCAGCUCAUCCCCUCCCUUAUCCAGGAUCCCUAAUUCUGGACAAACUUGGGAUAUAGGGGUUGAGGUGGAAGCAGGGCUUAAAGUGCUAAAUUAGACACAUAAUAGGGACACGGGUGGUGCUGUGGGUUAAACCACAGAGCCUAGGACUUGCUGAUCAGAAGGUCGGCGGUUCAAAUCCCUGCGAUGGGGUGAGCUCCCAUUGCUUGGUCUCCUCCUGCCAACCUAGCAGUUCGAAAGCACAUCAAAGUGCAAGUAGAUAAAUAGGUACUGUUCCAGCGGGAAGGUAAACGACUUUUCCGUGCGCUGCUCUGGUUCUCCAGAAGUGGCUUAGUCAUGCUGGCCACAUGACCCGGAAGCUGUAUGCUGGCUCCCUUGGCCAAUAAAGCGAGAUGAGCACUGCAACCCCAGAGUCAGCCACAACUGGACCUAAUGGUCAGGGGUCCCUUUACCUUUAUGAAAUGAAUGCCUAGGAUUACUACUACUACUACUACUACUACUACUACUACUUGCCAGCAAGUUUGGAAAACUCAGCAGUGGUGAGAGGAUUGGAGAAGAUCAGUCUACAUCCCAAUCCCAAAGAAGGGCAGUGCCAAAGAAUGCUCCAACUACCGCACAAUUGUGCUCAUUUCACACCCUAGCAAGGUUAUGCUUAAAAUUCUACAAGGCAGGCUUAAGCAGUAUGUGGACCGAGAACUCCCAGAGGUGCAAGCUGGAUUUCGAAGAGGCAGAGGAACCAGAGACCAAAUUACAAACAUGCACUGGAUUAUGGAGAAAGCUAGAGAGUUCCAGAAAAACAUCUACUUCUGCUUCACCGACUACACAAAAGCCUUUGACUAUGUCAACCAUCCUAUGGCAAGUUCUUAAAGAAAUGGGAGGGCCUGAUCACCUCAUCUGUCUCCUGAGAAAUCUCUAUGUGGGACAAGAAGCUACAGUUAGAACUGGAUAUGGAACAACUGAUUUGUUCAAAAUUGGGAAAGAAGCACGACAAGGCUGUAUAUUGUCUCCCUGCUUAUUUAACUUAUAUGCAGAAUGCAUCAUGCGAAAGGCUGGACUGGAUGAAUCCCAAGCCGGAAUUAAGAUUGCCGGAAGAAAUAUCAACAACCUCAGAUAUGCAGAUGACACAACCUUGAUGGCAGAAAGUGAGGAAGAAUUAAAAAACCUCUUAAUGAGGGUGAAAGAGGAGAGCGCAAAAUAUAGUCUGAAGCUCAACAUCAAAAAAUGAAGAUCAUGGCCACUGGUCUCAUCACCUCCUGGCGAAUAGAAGGGGAAGAAACGGAGGCAGUGAGAGAUUUUACUUUCUUGGGCUCCAUGAUCACUGCAGAUGGUGACAGCAGUCACAAAAUUAAAAGACGCCUGCUUCUUGGGAGAAAAGCGAUAACAAACCUAGACAGCAUCCUAAAAAGCAGAGACAUCACCUUGCCGAACAAGGUCCGUAUAGUUAAAGCUAUGGUUUUCCCAGUAGUGAUGCAUGAAAGUGAGAGCUGGACCAUAAAGAAGGCUGAUUGCCGAAGAAUUGAUGCUUUUGAAUUACGGUGCUGGAGGAGACUCUUGAGAGUCCCAUGGACUGCAAGAAGAUCAAACCUAUCCAUUCUGAAGGAAAUCAGCCCUGAGUGCUCACUGGAAGGACAGAUCCUGAAGCUGAGACUCCAAUACUUUGGCCACCUCAUGAGAAGAGAAGACUCCCUGGAAAAGACCCUGAUGUUGGGAAAGAUGGAGGGCACAAGGAGAAGGGGACAACAGAGGACGAGAUGGUUGGACAGCGUUCUCGAAGCUACCAACAUGUGUUUGACCAAACUGCGGGAGGCAGUGAAAGACAGGAGUGCCUGGCGUGCUCUGGUCCAUGGGGUCACGAAGAGUCGGACACGACUAAACGACUGAAACAACAACAACACUACUACUACCCAACCCACUCUGGGUGGCUUCCAAAACACAGAACAACUUUCAGAUGUCUUCUAAAAGUUGUAUAGGUUUUUUAUUUUCUCGACAUCUGAUGGGAGGGUGUCAGAAUCAGAAGAAUCUUUAUUUGCAUCAGCCACUAGCCAUAGCAAUAAAAUAAAAUAAAAUGUACUGAAGAUAGAGGUAAAAGCUUAACUAUAGAAAAUACAUUUUGGGGGUUUACAUCAAUGAUCAAAUAAUAGAUCUUAUUCUAAUUGCCCCCGCUAAAAACCUUGGGAGGGUGUCCUCUACUAGGUUCCCUGCAACCUCAUUUUUCACAGGGAGGGAACUGUCAAAUGGUCCUCAAAGCUAGAUCUUUGUGUCCAGGCUAAAUGGCAGAGGUGGAGACUAGGUAGAUAGGGCCAAAACCUUUAAGGGCUUUAAAUGAAUUAGGAAGCUUUAACAUGCAGCUGGCAUGGUCAGAGUCAUGUUUAAAAGAUCAGAUUUCAAAAACACGACAUUCCAAAAAUUUCCACUUGGACAUUUCUCCAAAUUUUGAACGGAUUCAUUUAUUAUUAUGUUGUGCUAUAAAUCUGAUCCUGUCUUAAUUUGAGCCACAUCUUUCUGUGUCAGGAUUGAGAUUAGGAGAACCUGAAGUAUUUGGGAAGAUUCUGGGCAGCAAAAUUAUGUCUGAGCCCUGGCAAGUCGCUUCUUGGAAUCCUUUGCCCCUAACUGCAUCUCUCUCUUUUUCCCACAAAGAUAAGCUGAACAUGAGUGACGCACCAGUGGGAAAGUUCAGCUUUCACCGCAGCAUCCAUGAUUCAUUUCCGGACUCUGCCCUAGCCUACAGCAAGGUACAGAGCCUAGGGUGCCUCGUUUUCCCUCUCUAAACUGGCAGCAAGGUACGAGUGCUGACGCAGGAGAAGAGAAUGAAGCCAGCGGGAAUGGAAGCACAAUCCACUCCAAGUGGCAGUUUUCAGGCUUGUCCGCAUGUGAGCAUCAUUUAGUUGUAAACCCACUUGCCUGCCAUUUGGAUUAGGCCAAAGUGGUCCACACCCUCACAUUUCUGAAUUUGUAUAACUAGAGCUUGCCGACAAAGGACCGUAUAGUUAAUGCUAUGGUUUUCCCAGUAGUGAUGUAUGGAAGUGAGAGCUGGACCAUAAAGAAGGCUGAUCACCGAAAAAUUGAUGCUUUUGAAUUAUGGUGCUGGAGGAGACUCUUGAGAGUCCCAUGGACUGCAAGAAGAUCAAACCGAUCCAUUCUGAAGGAAAUCAGCCCUGAGUGCUCACUGGAAGGACAGAUCCUGAAGCUGAGGCUCCAAUACUUUGGCCACCUCAUGAGAAGAGAAGACUCCCUGGAAAAGACCCUGGUGUUGGGAAAGAUGGAGGGCACAAGGAGAAGGGGACGACAGAGGACGAGAUGGUUGGACAGUGUUCUUGAAGCUACCAGCAUGAGUUUGACCAAACUGCGGGAGGCAGUGGAAGACAGGAGUGCCUGGCGUGCUCUGGUCCAUGGGGUCACGAAGAGUCGGACACGACUAAACAACAAAUAACUACAGCCUUUCCCAUUCAUGUCACUAGUUAUUCCCUUUUGUGUUUGCUGUAGGGCAAGGCUUAACAGCUGGCACAAAAUUGCUCUAAUGCCACUUUUCUCUCAGGUUGAUUCCAAUCAAGAGUAUAUUGUGAAAAUGGUGUUUCUCAUGCACACAAGUUUUUGAAGCAAUGGCGGAUUUCCUCUGAUCGGGAGGAAUCCGCUUCGUGAGAAUUAGGGUCUGGACCACCGUGGCGAGGCGGAGACCCAUCAAAAACCCUAGGCGGGAGAAGCCUGUGGACGUGGGAUUCGGCUGGCACCUUUUGCGCCUCCCCUACUCGCGGGGAAACCCGGUUUCGGGGAUCCGGAGCGACGUGGAGUGAAUGGCGUGGUGCUUCGAAUCGACUGCUCUUUUCACGGAGUGAAGCCGCAUUGCUGUUGCCGGAGAGCGCUGACUUUUUCCUGUGGACAAUUGGAUUUUAAACAACUGCCCGUGAGUAGAACGGAAAAUUGGACUAUGAAACUUCUUAAUUUGGCACCGAAGCGGGAAGGUCUAAACAGGAAGUCCGCCUUCUGCUUUUGUAAAUAGAUUGAAGCAAAGACAUUGCAAGCUAGAGUCUGGAAAGUCAUUUGCAAAGGACUAAAUUUCCAUCAGUUAAAAUUACUAAACCCCCCUUGGAAGCAGGAGAAGACGGAGGAAUCUUUUUAGACUGUUUAACCUGCAGAAGAGAGAGUAAAGAAAGAUAAAUUUCCACCGUCUUGAACCUGGGAGCGGGGUGUCAGGACAGACGCUUUGGGGAAGUUCAUUGACUGUGGAUAAAACGUUUUUGACAGAUAGUUAAAAAAGAGAAACAUAUUGAUUCCAAUGUUCCCUUUUCACUUAAAAGGAACAAAAUAUCUGAAAUAUCUGAAAAACGAAAGGAACUUUGUUGCUAGAUCUGCACUUAAAAAGACGGAUACAAAUAGAAAUUGUUUCCCCUAGAGGGAGCUUGUGAAACUGUUGCUAGAGUCGAUCUGGGGAAUUUUGCAGCUGUAGAGAUUAAAGAUCGUGAGACCAGACUUUGACCUUGAACAAGAAUGUGCCCAGAAGAAGCUUUAGUGCUUGCUUUUGCAAGACAAGCGCUUUACUGGAACAGCUACAUGAGAAGAUGGAUUUGAUGACUGUUGCAGUUGGAAAUUUUGGACAAACAGUGAAUACCUAUAUAGAAACCACUCAGGAAUUAAUCCAGGAAAGUGCUUUGACAGAGCAAGUGGUGAAGAAGAUAAAGGAGGAGGUUGUUGCUGAACCUCAAAUAGCAGAAGUGGAGAGAGCUGCAGUCUUGCAGGAACAUAAGUUGUUGUUUUUGACGACUGAACCUGGAGAAAGUCAGAUUUGGAGAGAUGGAGUACUGUUUGGUUUGGAGAUGGGAAGCUGGAUAGAUCCCCCUAUGCAGGGAUGCUUUGGCUUUUCGGAUCUGGCUUUGGGCCAGGGGGAGUUUGGAGUUGUGGGGGCUCUUAACCUUGGAGGGACUUUGAAACAUGCCUUUAAAUAUCUUAUGGAUUUCAGUGUCGACUAUGGAGAAUGGGCUGACUUAUUGAGAAGGGAUAAAGAUAUUGUCAAGUUGGAGUCUCCCCGAGAGAAAGGAAGGAAAUUAAGAAAAAGAUCAGCAGAAGAUAAAGUAAAGUACAGGUAUAAACAUGAAGAAGACGUGCGGAAGGGACAUGGAAAAGACUUAAGAGCCUCGGAUAGAAGGUCACCAGGUUGAUGGACUAGAUGGAUGGGAUAGAAAGGACUGACAAAACCCGAGACCAGGAAGAAGAGACGAUGGAUGAAGAUUGGAAGAAAGUUUUAAAAAUUCAUUUGGAAAAUUAUUGUAAAACUAAUGAGUAUUAGAAAAAUGUUGGAAUGAAACUAUUUGGCUUUAGCAGAGAUGUUAAAAAGAAUUAUGUAUAAAUAUGUUAUGCUAAAAAGAAUUAGGUAUAAAUAAGACUUAAGUUUUAAGCUGAAACCUGGUGGGAUAAGUCCCACGAUUGGAAUGUAAUAAUGGGGGGAUACAAUCUAUUUCAGAGAAACAGACCAGACAAGAAAGGAGGAGGAGUGGCGUUAUAUGUCAGGGAUGUGUAUACCUGUGAAGAGAUCCAAGAUUUAGAACCUCAAAGCCAAAGUGAGAGCAUUUGGGUCAAAAUUAAGGGAGAGAAGAAUAACAGUGACCUCAUUGUGGGAAUUUACUAUAGAUCCCUAAGCCAAACGGAGGACAUAGAUGAUGCCUUCCUGGAACAGAUGGCCAAGCAUGCAAAAGGAAGGGAGAUAGUAGUAAUGGGGACUUCAAUUACCCGGAUAUUUGUUGGAUGUCAAACUCAGCCAAGAGCAUAAGGUCAAACAGAUUCCUCACUGGCCUUGCAGACAACUUCAUUGUCCAGAAAGUGGGAGAAGCAACAAGAGGAACAGCCAUUUUAGAUCUGGUCCUAACCAAUGUUGAUGACCUGGUUAGUGGGGUAGAAGUGGAAGGAUCAUUAGGCGCGAGUGAUCAUGCUCUUCUGAAGUUUACUAUACAGCGGAAAGGAGCAGCCAAGCAUACUAGGACUCAAUUUCUUGACUUUAAGAAAGCUGACUUCAUAAAACUUAGGGAAGUGCUGGGUGAGAUCCCAUGGACAGUAAUACUAAAAGAAAGGGAGUUCAUGAUGGCUGGGAGUUUGUUAAGAGGGAGAUACUAAAAGCACAACGUCAGGCAAUACCAAUGAGACAGAAACAUGGAAGGUGCCUAAAGAAGCCAGGGUGGCUAUCUAAAGAACUUUUAACUGAGUUAAGAUUUAAAAAGGAUGUGUACAAAAAUGGAAAAGGGGGAAACCACCAAAGAGGAAUUCAAACAAAUAGCCAGCACGUGUAGACACAAAGUCAGAAAAGCUAAAGCACAGAAUGAACUCAGGCUUGCUAGAGAGGUUAAAAGCAACAAAAAGGCUUUUAUGGGUAUGUCAGUAGCAAAAGGAAGAACAAAGAAACAGUGGGGUCACUCAGAGGAGAAGAUGGUGAAAUGCAAACAGGGGACACAGAAAGGGCUGAACUCCUCAAUGCCUUCUUUGCCUCAGUCUUCUCCGAUAAAGAAAACAAUGCCCGACCUGAAGAAUUUGGAGCAAAUGAUUCAGCAAAGGAAACACAGCCCAGAAUAACUAAGGAGAUAGUACAAGAAUACUUGGCUAGUUUAGAUGUAUUCAAGUCUCCAGGGCCAGAUGAACUGCAUCCAAGAGUAUUAAAAGAACUGGCAGAUGUGAUCUCAGAACCACUGGCAGUCAUCUUUGAGAAUUCCUGGAGAACAGGCGAAGUCCCGGCAGACUGGAGGAGGGCAAAUGUUGUCCCUAUUUUCAAAAAGGGGAAAAGAGAGGACCCAAAUAAUUACCGCCCAGUCAGUCUGACAUCAAUACCAGGGAAGAUUCUGGAGCAGAUCAUUAAGCAAACAGUCUGUGAGCACCUAGAAAGGAAUGCUGUGAUCACCAAUAGUCAGCAUGGAUUUCUGAAAAAUAAGUCAUGUCAGACUAACCUGAUCUCGUUUUUUGACAGAAUUACAAGCCUGGUAGAUGAAGGGAACGCAGUGGAUGUAGCCUACCUUGAUUUCAGCAAGGCAUUUGACAAGGUGCCUCAUGAUAUUCUUGUAAAGAAGCUGGUAAAAUGUGGUCUUGACUAUGCUACCACUCAGUGGAUUUGUAACUGGCUGACUGACCGAACCCAAAGGGUGCUCAUCAAUGGUUCCUCUUCAUCCUGGAGAAGAGUGACUAGUGGGGUGCCACAGGGUUCUGUCUUGGGCCCGGUCUUAUUCAACAUCUUUAUCAACGACUUGGAUGAUGGACUCAAGGGCAUCCUGAUCAAAUUUGCAGAUGACACCAAAUUGGGAGGGGUGGCUAACACCCCAGAGGACAGGAUCACACUUCAAAACGACCUUGACAGAUUAGAGAACUGGGCCAAAACAAACAAGAUGAAUUUUAACAGGGAGAAAUGUAAAGUAUUGCACUUGGGCAAAAAAAUGAGAGGCACAAAUACAAGAUGGGUGACACCUGGCUUGAGAGCAGUACAUGUGAAAAGGAUCUAGGAGUCUUGGUUGACCACAAACUUGACAUGAGCCAACAGUGUGACGCGGCAGCUAAAAAGCCAAUGCAAUUCUGGGCUGCAUCAAUAGGAGUAUAGCGUCUAGAUCAAGGGAAGUAAUAGUGCCACUGUAUUCUGCUCUGGUCAGACCUCACCUGGAGUACUGUGUCCAGUUCUGGGCACCACAGUUCAAGAAGGACAUUGACAAACUGGAACGUGUCCAGAGGAGGGCAACCAAAAUGGUCAAAGACCUGGAAACGAUGCCUUAUGAGGAACGGCUAGGGAGCUGGGCAUGUUUAGCCUGGAGAAGAGGAGGUUAAGGGGUGAUAUGAUAGCCAUGUUCAAAUAUAUAAAAGGAUGUCACAUAGAGGAGGGAGAAAGGUUGUUUUCUGCUGCUCCAGAGAAGCGGACACAGAGCAAUGGAUCCAAACUACAAGAAAGAAGAUUCCACCUAAACAUUAGGAAGAACUUCCUGACAGUAAGAGCUGUUCGACAGUGGAAUUUGCUGCCAAGGAGUGUGGUGGAGUCUCCUUCUUUGGAGGUCUUUAAGCAGAGGCUUGACAACCAUAUGUCAGGAGUGCUCUGAUGGUGUUUCCUGCUUGGCAGGGGGUUGGACUCGAUGGCCCUUGUGGUCUCUUCCAACUCUAUGAUUCUAUGAUUCUAUGAUUCUAAGCUUUAGGGUUUUUAUGGUAAGAUAAGGUUAAAAUAGAUUAAGGUAAUCUAAUGACAGAAUAUUGUGAAAGAUGGAAAGGAUUUGCUGAGAUAAUUAAUAACUAGAAUACAAAAAAGGGAGGUGGGAGGAGGUCCAUGAAACAAGUUAAUGAAAGAUAAAGAUUUGGGAAUAUUGGAUUUGUUUUUAAAUCUUUUGUUUAUUUUUGCUCUUUGAUUUUGAUGUAUUGUGUGAUUUGUUUUUUUUCCCCCUUCGACUUUUGUUUUUAUUGACUUGUAUUGUUUAAUUUCUCUUUUUGUCUACUUUUUUCCUUUUUUUUCUUGUUUCUUUCUUUCUUUUUCUGUAAUUUUAAAUUUUCAAUAAAUAUCAUUAAAAAAAACAAAAGAACAGCAACCAUUUCACUAUACAGUGGUACCUCGGGUUAAGUACUUAAUUCGUUCCAGAGGUCCGUUCUUAACCUGAAACUGUUCUUAACCUGAAGCACCACUUGAGCUAAUGGGGCCUCCUGCUGCUGCCGCGCUGCUGCUGCACAAUUUCUGUUCUCAUCCUGAAGCAAAGUUCUUAACCUAAAGCACUAUUUCUGGGUUAGCAGAUUCUGUAACCUGAAGUGUAUGUAACCUGAGGUACCACUGUAAAAAGGAAAAGGGAAAAGGAAAUAGUGUGAGGAAACCAGUAAUUAAAGCUCCCUCCUUUCAUUUGUCUCCCCGUCAUUAUCAACAGGAAGUGAUGUAACAGGCAGGAUUUCUGCACAGGAAGCUUUUAAUUAAUAUUGAGAAGGACCUUUGCUGAAUGGGGUGUGAGUUAACAUUGUCAAAGAUGUUGGCCCUGUGGAGGUCACUUCUGGGUGACAUCUCUCCAUAUUAAAUGCUGCAUAUGGGCCACUAACGCAGAAGCACCGCAGCCUGGUUCUGUUGUGCUGUUGGUGUGGAUAUUGGCACUUGCUGCCCUAGAUUUCCAGAAGCGCAGCUUCCCUGUUUGGAGCCAAGAUCAUCUCUAAUUGCCAGGUUUGAGGGGCUGAUGGCAAGGAAUGGAUAUUCCUAUCUUGCCCUGCCUGGGAUUCUCUUUGGCAUCCCGUUCACCACCUGAAGGAGCAUCUCCACCCCCAUCGUUCAGCCCGGACACUGAGGUCCAGCUCCAAGCGCCUUGUGGCAUUUCCCUCACUGCAAGAAGUAAAGUUACAGGGAACCAGGCAGAGGGCCUUCUUGGUAGUGGCACCCGCCCUGUGGAAAGCCCUCCCGUCAGAUGUCAAGGAAAUAAACAACUACAGUAUCUGACUUUUAGAAGACAUCUGAAGGCAACUCUCUAGCAAGACAAAUAAAGCUGUCUGUCACGUUAAACCUAGGCAGAUAAAUGGUUCUGCAGCUGGUGCCAAACAGAUAAGAGACUGUCCCUGUUUGGGGUGAGAUUCAAUCACAUACUGACAAACUCAGGUUGCACAAUUACAUUGAUUUGAAGCUUUUGCACAAGAAACCCACUUUCCCGAAAGAUCGGACUUUUUGUGAUAAGGAAAGCGACAGGAACAUGCACUAGAAAAUGUGGAAUAACACUUGCUCAAUGUAAUGUUGUCUAAGCUCCCGGCAAACAAAUAAGAAUGAAUGGUUUUCAGGUGUAAAAAUGUUGCCAUUUUUAAUCUCUAAUGCUUUACAAUUUUUUAUGUAAGCCACCCAGAGUGGCUGGGGAAAC
Molecule: non-coding RNA, 24476 nt
Organism: Podarcis lilfordi (Lilford's wall lizard)
Lineage: Eukaryota; Metazoa; Chordata; Lepidosauria; Squamata; Lacertidae
Source: the annotation of a GenBank genome assembly